GACGAACCGUGCGAACGUUAUUCGGAAUCACUGGGCUUAAAGCGCGUGUAGGCGGGACGGUGCGUCGGCCGCUGAAAUCCCCCGGCUCAACCGGGGAAGGGGCGCCGAUACGACCGCCCUGGAGCGACGUAGGGGGAACUGGAACUUCCGGUGGAGCGGUGAAAUGCGUUGAGAUCGGAAGGAACGCCCGUGGCGAAAGCGAGUUCCUGGACGUCGGCUGACGCUGAGACGCGAAAGCGUGGGGAGCAAACAGG
RNAcentral lists this ribosomal RNA (254 nucleotides) under uncultured bacterium. Its description in RNAcentral is "partial 16S ribosomal RNA". It matches the Rfam family "Bacterial small subunit ribosomal RNA", at positions 524 to 776 of the family's 1533-position model. The record is from RNAcentral.